CUGCGAUUGGCUCUCGCACAUCACGUGAUCCGAUGUCAAAAUGGCGUCUCCGAAUGGAGCUGAGGACUUUGAGCCAUCGUUGCUAAGUUAUGAAAAGCUUGAUCGAGCUUCGCCUGACCUCUGGCCAGAACAGUUGCCUGGGGUUUCUGAAUUUGCCGCAUCGUUUAAAAAUCCCAUAACAAAUUCUCCACCCAAGUGGAUGGCAGAGCUGGAGGCAGAGGACGUUGAAAUGUUGAAAGAGCUGGGAAGUCUGACCACAGCAAACCUGAUGGAAAAGGUUAAAGGGCUGCAGAACUUGGCGUAUCAGCUGGGCUUGGAAGAGUAAAUCGAGACUCAUCAGACCAGGCAACAUUUUCCAGUCUUCAACUGUCCAAUUUUGCCAAAGAAAUGACAAGAGGAAAAUUCCUUAACAUCCUGGAGAGGCCGAAGAAAUGAAGACUGAAGGAUGUCCUGAUUGUGUUCGGACCUAUAUCAAGAGACUCUGUAGCAAAAUAACAGUGCCAUGAUCUGUAACAUUUGAAAGCUUAGUCGGAUAAAUAUAUUUAUAUAUGCAGAGUUACUGCUUUAUUGGGUACAUGUGCAGGUAUUGGCCAUUUUAUCAGGCAAAUUUGCGCUGUAGGUGCCGUGACUACAUUAGUAAUUAUUACAGACUGUAGCUGAUCUGUUGAUCUGACUCUGCUAACUGGGAAUCAUUCAAGCGCAUGCGGUGUAGCAGUGACACUGAGUCAGUAGUAGUGCUGGUGUGUGGUGCUGGUGUGUAGAAUGUGCAGCAGUGUUACUGGGUUUUUUUUUUAACUCUGUUAUUGAGGAUUGAGAAAAAUAUGAACAGUGGAAAAUACUAUCCAGCCAAAUGCAUCUUGUGGUCAGAAAUGUCUAAAAUGCUGCUGAAGAAUAACACAAACUAUCAAAGAGCACAAUCCAUACUGCUGUCAUAACCAGCAAAACACACACUAUUACGUCAGUGUGACUGUCAUGCUGAACAUAUUAUAUGCGAUCAGAUUAGCAGUGGUCUUAUGUUCUAGAUUCUUUAUUAUUACUAGAUGAGGAUGGGAUACAGGACACCCUGUAUUGAAGGUGUACCUGAUAAAAUGGCCAACAGGUGUAGUUACAGGCAUGGCGAGCUGAUGCAAAUUCCUGUACAUUUAGAUUGUGUAAAAUAUUUUUGAUUGUUUUUUCCUUAGUUAAAUGCUUGUUUUUGUUUGUCUGCUCUGUAUAUUUAUUUACUGACUAAAUUACGAUUGUUAUUUUCUAGUUAACACUAUUUGUUAAUAAAACAUUAUUAUUUUUGAUUA
Molecule: RNA transcript, 1292 nt
Organism: Clarias gariepinus (North African catfish)
Lineage: Eukaryota; Metazoa; Chordata; Actinopteri; Siluriformes; Clariidae
Gene: lin52
Gene name: lin-52 DREAM MuvB core complex component
Exons: 7
Source: RefSeq, a predicted model, not a curated record